AAGGAAUAUUGGUCAAUGGACGCAAGUCUGAACCAGCCAUGCCGCGUGGAGGAUUAAGGCCCUCUGGGUUGUAAACUCCUUUUAUCUGGGAAGAAAUGUACUUUUUCUUGAGUACUUGACGGUACCAGAGGAAUAAGCACCGGCUAACUCCGUGCCAGCAGCCGCGGUAAUACGGAGGGUGCAAGCGUUAUCCGGAUUCACUGGGUUUAAAGGGUGCGUAGGUGGGCAGAUAAGUCAGUGGUGAAAUCUUCCGGCUUAACCGGGAAACUGCCGUUGAUACUAUUUGUCUUGAAUAUUGCGGAGGUAAGCGGAAUAUGUCAUGUAGCGGUGAAAUGCUUAGAUAUGACAUAGAACACCAAUUGCGAAGGCAGCUUACUACACAAUCAUUGACACUGAGGCACGAAAGCGUGGGUAGCGAACA
RNAcentral lists this ribosomal RNA (421 nucleotides) under uncultured bacterium. Its description in RNAcentral is "bacterial SSU rRNA". It matches the Rfam family "Bacterial small subunit ribosomal RNA", at positions 356 to 774 of the family's 1533-position model. The record is from RNAcentral.